RNAcentral lists this ribosomal RNA (474 nucleotides) under Triticum aestivum (bread wheat). RNAcentral describes it as "partial small subunit ribosomal RNA". Lineage: Eukaryota; Viridiplantae; Streptophyta; Magnoliopsida; Poales; Poaceae. The record is from RNAcentral.
AUGGAGAGACUUGUUAAUGUUCAUUACAUUGACAAGGAGGCAUUCUUGAGUAACAAUGCCGACACGGGUGAGGAACCAUUGGUUUUUGAUAGAAGCCCUAGCUAUGAGGAUGUUGUUGCAAAAGUGAGACAAGUCUUGAAGUGGAUGGACACCAAUGUUGAUGUUAAGUUAAUAGGAAGGUAUGAUGUUGGAGUUGGAGCCAAAUCUCGCUUGAAAAGUAUGCCUAUCACCUCGGAUUUGCAUUGGGAUGUAUACAAGGAAAAAGUAUCCCAAUCGGAAGACAAGUCACUUGAAUUGUUUGCCACCACAGAAUCUCCUCGGUUUACCUUUGAUUUGAACCGGCAUGUCUCUUCCCCAAUGGAUGACAUGAGCGAGAGGACAAUGGUGCCACUUGUUGAGCAUAGGGUUGUGGUUGAUGCCCCCAAUGUUUAUCCCCCAUCAUGUCCCCGUGUACCAACUAUCAAACAUUCAUAG